Molecule: non-coding RNA, 45 nt
Filed under: Schistosoma mattheei
Lineage: Eukaryota; Metazoa; Platyhelminthes; Trematoda; Strigeidida; Schistosomatidae
Source: RNAcentral
AUCCAGCUGACGAGUCCAAAAGGGGACGAAACGCGCGUCCUGGAU